CUGUCACUGUGCCACUCGAGAGCCACACUCAGCUUUGGAGGAAAAUUGUGUCACUAUCAAUCACUCACUUUGAUUAGUACCUUACUCUGUGUGUAAAGGUGUGUAAAAGCGGCAAUAUUGGCCCCCUAAAUGCUGAAAGGUUCAUCUGCCAAAAGCAAGAAUUGUGCUGCAGAGACUUCAGCAGAAAAGCAAGAAAAUGGAUCCCUCUAGAGGCCACUUACAUAAUCUGUACCAGUG
Long non-coding RNA from Trachemys scripta elegans, 237 nucleotides. RefSeq lists it as uncharacterized. NCBI's taxonomy places the organism in Eukaryota, Metazoa, Chordata, Testudines, Emydidae. The transcript is spliced from 3 exons. The record is from RefSeq and is a predicted model, not a curated record.